GUCCCUUUGGAGGCAUCAAAUAAAAUUGGAAUAAUACAGAGAAGAUCAGCAUGCACCUGCAUGUGCAAGGAUAACACGCACAAACCGAUAAAUUAAAUUUCC
Molecule: small nuclear RNA, 102 nt
Organism: Macadamia integrifolia
Lineage: Eukaryota; Viridiplantae; Streptophyta; Magnoliopsida; Proteales; Proteaceae
Source: RefSeq, a predicted model, not a curated record